Molecule: transfer RNA, 359 nt
Filed under: uncultured Microcystis sp.
Lineage: Bacteria; Bacillati; Cyanobacteriota; Cyanophyceae; Chroococcales; Microcystaceae
Description: partial miscellaneous RNA
Rfam family: tRNA (bases 135-208)
Source: RNAcentral
AAGGGAGACCUAAUUCAGGUAUGGGACGAAAAAAAAGUAGUCGCUACCAAGAAUCAAUCCCGAAAGGUCGGAGCGAGGCGAAAUUGGCUUUCAAACUAGGUUCUGGGUUCACACAAGACCUGAAUCAGGAACAAGGGCUAUUAGCUCAGGUGGUUAGAGCGCACCCCUGAUAAGGGUGAGGUCCCUGGUUCGAGUCCAGGAUGGCCCACCUGCACAGGUGGCAAAAACAAGAGAAGCUCCGAAUCAGCACCUUAUCUUACUUAUACAGUAAGAGAGAAUGCUGGCUCUGAGUUCAGAGUUCAGAGGAACCUUGAAAACUGCAUAGAGCUAGGUGAAAAAGCCAAAAAAGAAGACCGCAA